GCCCCCAUAGCUCAGCUGGAUAGAGCGUCCCCCUCCUAAGGGGAAGGUCUCAGGUUCAAAUCCUGAUGGGGGCGCCA
Molecule: transfer RNA, 77 nt
Filed under: Halomonas daqiaonensis
Lineage: Bacteria; Pseudomonadati; Pseudomonadota; Gammaproteobacteria; Oceanospirillales; Halomonadaceae
Description: tRNA_Arg_CCT
Rfam family: tRNA
About the family: Transfer RNA (tRNA) molecules are approximately 80 nucleotides in length. Their secondary structure includes four short double-helical elements and three loops (D, anti-codon, and T loops). Further hydrogen bonds mediate the characteristic L-shaped molecular structure. tRNAs have two regions of fundamental functional importance: the anti-codon, which is responsible for specific mRNA codon recognition, and the 3' end, to which the tRNAs corresponding amino acid is attached (by aminoacyl-tRNA synthetases). tRNAs cope with the degeneracy of the genetic code in two manners: having more than one tRNA (with a specific anti-codon) for a particular amino acid; and 'wobble' base-pairing, i.e. permitting non-standard base-pairing at the 3rd anti-codon position.
Source: RNAcentral